GCAAAAUGCCUGGCAAUCUACAAGCAUCAUAAUGGGUCACUGGAGCUUCAGUGUCUUUCACAUUACUGUUAAUCUAUCAUGUGCUACUAUUAAAUUUAACUAGGUUAAUCCUCUUACUCAGAAAAUGGUUUCCCUCGAACUUCUUAAAAGGGACUAUUCAAACCUCCAAGGAACAUACUCAUGAUGUGUUAUGAUAGGAAGGAGGAGGCAGGAUGAAAGCAAACAGCUUUUGCAAACAGCUGCGUGUUUUCCUUGGAACCAGGGUGGGCAGAGCCCUGCUUGGAUGUGGGAGCCUGUGGCCUCCUGGCAUCAUCGUCUCAAAACUCUCCUGGGUGAGCCCCAGGCCUGUCGCCCACGACCUGCCCUUUGUCCUGCUCAUCCCCCAGUCAGAGGAGAAGCCCCGUUUGUUCUCUCUCUCCCUCCACUCCAUCCCCUUCUUUCUCUGAGGCAG
RNAcentral lists this long non-coding RNA (451 nucleotides) under Mustela putorius furo (domestic ferret). Its description in RNAcentral is "lncRNA (ENSMPUG00000028911.1)". The record is from RNAcentral. Lineage: Eukaryota; Metazoa; Chordata; Mammalia; Carnivora; Mustelidae.